GGGCCCAUGGUCUAGUGGUAUGACACGGCAUUCGCAUUGCCGGAGCGGCAGUUCGAUUCUGCCUGGGUCCA
Molecule: transfer RNA, 71 nt
Filed under: Candidatus Magasanikbacteria bacterium RIFOXYC2_FULL_42_28
Lineage: Bacteria; Candidatus Magasanikiibacteriota
Description: tRNA-Ala
Rfam family: tRNA
About the family: Transfer RNA (tRNA) molecules are approximately 80 nucleotides in length.
Source: RNAcentral